This 1184-nucleotide long non-coding RNA is filed under the name Medicago truncatula (barrel medic). RNAcentral's name for it is "lncRNA gene35486". The record is from RNAcentral. Lineage: Eukaryota; Viridiplantae; Streptophyta; Magnoliopsida; Fabales; Fabaceae.
UCUUCUCUCUCUAAGUCACACUUAGAGAGAGAAGCUCUCCCUUCUCUCUAAAAAUCCCGCCGGCGAAGGUGGGUGGUGGUGGUGAUUCCGGCGCGGCGGCCGGCCGGUUUCCGGCGGCGGCGCCACCGCGCCGGAAAAUUCAAACUUCUUUUUUUUUUUAAAAUUUUUACAUCAAAAGUUCCGUCACCACCUCCUCUACACAAAUCCGGCGUUAGUUUUAGCGAGAACGGAGCGAUUCGGACUAGAUCUACAUUUUUUCUUUGAAAAUUUUUCACACUUUUUAAAAAAAAAAAACUACGGAUCUAGAUAUCCUUUUCUCUCUAGUGUCCGAAUCCGGCCUCAAAAUUUUCAAAAUCCGAACGUACACGCCUAGAUCUACAAAUACAUAUCCGUAACAAACUUUUUCACACCUUUUUUACACUACAUAUGCGCGCGAAAACGGAGAAAAAGAGGAGAGAAAUGCGUUACCUCUGUCGUGAAACGGAGAAAAAUCUUCGGAAAAACUUCGAAUCCUCCUCUUCUCUUUCGCGCGCGCUAUACCCUCCGUUGGUGUUGUUUUUGCUCGAAAAUCCGGUACGUUUUGGUGUUGAUGUGGUGAUUCGCGGUGGUUUUGAGUGAAUCCGGUUCGGAUUUGUUGAUUUUGUGGUGGUUGGAGCUGAUUCUGAGCAGAUCCGGUUUAGAUCUGUUGAUUUUGGUGAUGAGGUGUUCUUGGUGUUCUUCCUCUUUUUCUGAGUUUUUUUUUCUGUUUUGAUUCUGUUAUGGAUGAGAGAGAGAAAAAGAUUCUGUUUGAGAGUGAUUGUGAUUGAUUCUGAUUUUUCUGACUGAUUGUGAUGGAUCUGACACAUUUACUAUUUAUAGCCUGCCAUGUGUAUCUGAGAACCAAUGAAAAAAUGACAUCUGGACCGUUUUGGACUUAUGGACUAAUCUGCAAAAAAGUUAAUAUGAGGACUAAUCUGCAAAAUAAGAAAAAGGACUAAAAAUGCAAUUUUAAAAAGUAUUGGACUAAAAUGCAAGUUAAAAUAAAAUUGGAUAAAAAUUGGUAAUUUGAAAAAAAACGUAAAGUGAAACAAAAAAUAAAAUCAACAAAAGGACUAAAACGAACCAAUUACCGACAUGAGGUAUUUUAAAAUACCUCCCUGUCGAAAUUUUGACAGGAAAAGACCAAAAUGCCCCUAGGGACUAAA